GUGAAUCAUCGAAUUUUUGAACGCAAAUUGCACUCCCUGGUAUUCCGGGGAGUAUGCCUGUUUGAGGGUCGUUAGAACAAAAAUCGAAGCGUCGCUCUUUUUUUUUAAGGGUGAUCGCGUCGGAAUUGAGCCGUCUUUCAAAUGUUAAUUCAUGUCAAAGUGGCUUGAAAUUCAUCCAUCCGGUACGAUUAAAGCGUAUUUAAGAUCAACUUUGAUUAAGAACGCGCGAUGAACGUACCAUCUCAUGUAGUACGUUUGACUUGACGUCGUCAGGAUCACUCGUAUACGAUACUCAAACUUU
This 301-nucleotide unclassified non-coding RNA is filed under the name Funneliformis mosseae. Its description in RNAcentral is "partial contains 5.8S ribosomal RNA and internal transcribed spacer 2". The stretch from base 1 to 71 matches the Rfam family "5.8S ribosomal RNA", at positions 84 to 154 of the family's 154-position model. The record is from RNAcentral. Lineage: Eukaryota; Fungi; Glomeromycota; Glomeromycetes; Glomerales; Glomeraceae.